RNAcentral lists this small nuclear RNA (191 nucleotides) under Merops nubicus (carmine bee-eater). Its description in RNAcentral is "U2 spliceosomal RNA". It matches the Rfam family "U2 spliceosomal RNA". From Rfam's summary of the family: U2 is a small nuclear RNA (snRNA) component of the spliceosome (involved in pre-mRNA splicing). Complementary binding between U2 snRNA (in an area lying towards the 5' end but 3' to hairpin I) and the branchpoint sequence (BPS) of the intron results the bulging out of an unpaired adenosine, on the BPS, which initiates a nucleophilic attack at the intronic 5' splice site, thus starting the first of two transesterification reactions that mediate splicing. Lineage: Eukaryota; Metazoa; Chordata; Aves; Coraciiformes; Meropidae. The record is from Rfam by way of RNAcentral.
ACACAUUUCCCAGUUGUUGGCUAAGAUCAAUUGCAUCACCUGUUCUUAUCACUUCAAUAUCUGAUACAUCCACAGCUUUAAGAUUUGAUAUUAAAUGGAUUUGGAAGGCACAGGAAAGACUAGCAGCUUCUUCCAUCCAUUCCAUGCAUCAGCCUGAAACUGGAGUGCUUCCAGGUACUGUGGCUGCAUCA